Molecule: ribosomal RNA, 427 nt
Filed under: uncultured bacterium
Lineage: Bacteria
Description: partial 16S ribosomal RNA
Rfam family: Bacterial small subunit ribosomal RNA
Source: RNAcentral
UGGGGAAUAUUGCACAAUGGGCGCAAGCCUGAUGCAGCCAUGCCGCGUGUAUGAAGAAGGCCUUCGGGUUGUAAAGUACUUUCAGCGGGGAGGAAGGUGUUGUGGUUAAUAACCACAGCAAUUGACGUUACCCGCAGAAGAAGCACCGGCUAACUCCGUGCCAGCAGCCGCGGUAAUACGGAGGGUGCAAGCGUUAAUCGAAAUUACUGGGCGUAAAGCGCACGCAGGCGGUCUGUCAAGUCGGAUGUGAAAUCCCCGGGCUCAACCUGGGAACUGCAUCCGAAACUGGCAGGCUUGAGUCUUGUAGAGGGGGGUAGAAUUCCAGGUGUAGCGGUGAAAUGCGUAGAGAUCUGGAGGAAUACCGGUGGCGAAGGCGGCCCCCUGGACAAAGACUGACGCUCAGGUGCGAAAGCGUGGGGAGCAAACA